UCUGUUUCAACUCCGUUUUACAUAGUUGGAUUUGUAAAGCUAAUAAAUUAUUUAUUCCAGGAUCUGUAGCUCCAAAUCCGUCAUCGCUCCCAGUACCCUUUGAAGUAUCACUCCAACACCUAAUGGCUAAUCUUCUACUUCUACUAAGAACACAAUGGUCUGCUGCUUUCCCACUUGCCAAUGAGAUCAAGAACACACCUCAGUGUGGCUGGUUGUCACAGCCAGGGGUGCACUGUGUACGGACAGAGGGACUGGUGGAGUACAGGAGCACCUCAAGAAUCCUCAGACCAUGA
This 293-nucleotide long non-coding RNA is filed under the name Fukomys damarensis (Damara mole-rat). RNAcentral's name for it is "lncRNA (ENSFDAG00000024483.1)". Lineage: Eukaryota; Metazoa; Chordata; Mammalia; Rodentia; Bathyergidae. The record is from RNAcentral.